This is a long non-coding RNA of Amphimedon queenslandica, 854 nucleotides long. RefSeq lists it as uncharacterized. NCBI's taxonomy places the organism in Eukaryota, Metazoa, Porifera, Demospongiae, Haplosclerida, Niphatidae. The transcript has 3 exons. The record is from RefSeq and is a predicted model, not a curated record.
GAAGAAUUCAAGACACCAUUGACUCCAAUAAAGCUAGAUAUUAAAGAUCUUGAUAUCGUCAUUGAAGAGCUAACAAUACUCAAUCAUUUACCUUGCCAUAUAUGGCAUGAUCUUGGUCUUCAGCUAGGACUCUAUCAGCCUACACUAGAAGACAUCAAUGAAGAUAAUAAUGGAGACUCUAAGAAGUGCUUCAGACAGUGUGUGUCUGCCUGGUUAAGAGGAGAAGAUAAAGUGAGAGAGAAAGGAGGUCCCAGUUGGUCAUCAUUAGCUACAGCACUGGAUAAAGAAGGAAAGCAUCACAUUGCUUCUAACAUUAGAGAUAAAUAUUGUAAAUAACAAACUGACAGUAACACAUCAAGUUUGUAUAUUUCUCCUUAGGGCAGUGUCUAAUUUAUAUUGUUGUUAUUUCUGUUAUUCUUCUUCUUAGAUCCUGAUGGAGCGUUUACUCCACUAACUGGUGGUACAUCAACUGGUAGAGAAGUAGUUGCUAUAUGGAACUACACAGCUCAAUAUUCUGAUGAACUGACCUUCUCUGAUGGAGAAAUACUUCAAAUAUUAGAAGAAGUUGAUGAUAACUGGUAUCAUGGUGUGUGUCAGGAUAAAGUUGGUAUAUUUCCAAAGACUUACGUCAGAGAACCUUAACAACAACCAGCUGCUAACAACCAGCUCUACCUGCUCCUCUUCCUCUCUCUUCAUGAUCCUCUCUUGUAGUCAUUAGCUGUUUAUGAGUUAAUCAAUUGUUUUAUUUGACAUCAUUUUAUUUUAUUCACUGACAAUUUUAUUGUAUUAUUUUAUUUUUUUCUUGCUGUUAUCUUGUUUUCUUGUUGUUGUUCUUACAGUGUGUUGAUAAUGAA